This 207-nucleotide long non-coding RNA is filed under the name Phaseolus vulgaris (common bean). Its description in RNAcentral is "long non-coding RNA (PVUL_LNC004492)". Lineage: Eukaryota; Viridiplantae; Streptophyta; Magnoliopsida; Fabales; Fabaceae. The record is from RNAcentral.
GUUUUUGAACCCUACAAGAACUUCAACAAACAAGGCUGAAAAACACUAUUUCAGCACACCUUGCACUCCAAGAAAUCUUAUCAAGAGUGACUAACACUUACACCUAUUACAAGAACGAAUAAGGGAAAGAUUACACCUGAAAUUGUGUUGCAAGAACAUAAACUAGUUGUUCUAUUUGCUCCAAGACAGUACCAACACCUUCAUCCA